This 274-nucleotide ribosomal RNA is filed under the name uncultured bacterium. RNAcentral describes it as "partial 16S ribosomal RNA". It matches the Rfam family "Bacterial small subunit ribosomal RNA", at positions 523 to 796 of the family's 1533-position model. The record is from RNAcentral.
AUACGGAGGGGGUUAGCGUUGUUCGGAAUUACUGGGCGUAAAGCGCACGUAGGCGGAUUGGAAAGUUGGGGGUGAAAUCCCAGGGCUCAACCCUGGAACUGCCUCCAAAACUAACAGUCUAGAGUUCGAGAGAGGUGAGUGGAAUUCCAAGUGUAGAGGUGAAAUUCGUAGGUAUUUGGAGGAACACCAGUGGCGAAGGCGGCUCACUGGCUCGAUACUGACGCUGAGGUGCGAAAGCGUGGGGAGCAAACAGGAUUAGAAACCCUAGUAGUCC